UAUAAAGUCUGACCUGCCCAAUGAUAAUUGAAUGGCCGCGGUAUUCUGACCGUGCAAAGGUAGCAUAAUAAUUAGUUUUUUAAUUGAAAGCUGGAAUGAAUGGUUGGACGAGAAGACUUCUGUCUUAGUGUAAUUUUUUGAAUUUUAUUUUUGAGUGAAAAAGCUUAAAUUUGUUUAAAAGACGAGAAGACCCUAUAGAGUUUUAUAUUUUUGUUUAUGAUUAUUUUGUAGAAGUUAAUUGGUUAUUUUAAAUAAAAUUAUUUUGUUGGGGUGACAGAAAAAUUUAGUUAACUUUUUUAUUAUAGUUACAUUGAUUUAUGUUUAAUUGAUCCUUUAUUUAAGAUUAUUAGAUUAAAUUACCUUAGGGAUAACAGCGUAAUUUUUUUUUAGAGUUCUAAUCGAAAGAAAAGUUUGCGACCUCGAUGUUGGAUUAAAAUUAAUGUUUGGUGAAGCUGCUGAAUAAUUAGGUCUGUUCGACCUUUAAAAUUUUACA
Molecule: ribosomal RNA, 493 nt
Filed under: Ablabera sp. DA0803
Lineage: Eukaryota; Metazoa; Arthropoda; Insecta; Coleoptera; Scarabaeidae
Description: partial 16S large subunit ribosomal RNA
Rfam family: Bacterial large subunit ribosomal RNA
Source: RNAcentral